UAGGGCGGUUAUAGCNNCGGGGAUCACCUCUUACCAUUCCGAACAGAGAAGUUAAGUCCGNUAGCGCCGAUGGUACUACUAUUGUGGAAGAGUAGGUCACCGCCUUUC
Molecule: non-coding RNA, 108 nt
Organism: Flavobacteriaceae bacterium TMED145
Lineage: Bacteria; Pseudomonadati; Bacteroidota; Flavobacteriia; Flavobacteriales; Flavobacteriaceae
Source: Rfam